GAAAUGCGAUAAUUAAUGUGAAUUGCAGAAUUCAGUGAAUCAUCGAGUCUUUGAAGGCACAUUGCGCCCCCUGGUAUUCCGGGGGGCAUGCCUGUCCGAGCGUCAUUGCUGCCCUCAAGCACGGCUUGUGUGUUGGGCUUCCGUCCCUGGCAACGGGGACGGGCCCAAAAGGCAGUGGCGGCACCAUGUCUGGUCCUCGAGCGUAUGGGGCUUUGUCACCCGCUCCCGUAGGUCCAGCUGGCAGCUAGCCUCGCAACCAGUCUUUUUAACCAGGUUGACCUCGGAUCAGGUAGGGAUACCCGCUGAACUUAAGC
This 314-nucleotide unclassified non-coding RNA is filed under the name plant metagenome. RNAcentral's name for it is "partial contains 5.8S ribosomal RNA, internal transcribed spacer 2, and large subunit ribosomal RNA". The stretch from base 1 to 105 matches the Rfam family "5.8S ribosomal RNA", at positions 50 to 154 of the family's 154-position model. The record is from RNAcentral.